Molecule: long non-coding RNA, 1069 nt
Filed under: Phoenix dactylifera (date palm)
Lineage: Eukaryota; Viridiplantae; Streptophyta; Magnoliopsida; Arecales; Arecaceae
Description: long non-coding RNA (PDAC_LNC004967)
Source: RNAcentral
UGAGAUCUUGGAUGGUCGCUAUUCCUCUAUUUUCAAAGUUUGUUAUAAUUUGUAAUCAUAUGAUAAAUCCUUUAUAAUAUUUACUUACUUGAUGCUCUCUCUCCAGCACUUGGAUAUAAUACAAAAAAACUAGUCCGAAAGUAUAAUUUAAAUUUUGUAGUGCUACUGUAUAAAUAUCGAAGAUCUAUCCAUCCUCAAACCUAACAUCACUCACGAUGUGUUUGAAUCUUCAAGUCGUUUCACAGGCUUCCUUGGAGCUCUGAUAAACCUCUGCUUGGUGGGUGCUGAUGUUGUAUUUGACAACUUAGUUGCAACAUAAUCUCUGUGCCACGUAUACGUCCAUGAGCUACUUCGUCGUCCAGUCUCCGUUGGCAAUGACUCUAAUGUCACCAUAUAUAAAAAUCUUCUGCCAAUAUGAUAUAUAGAAAGUGCACUGUUCUCACCUGAUGUAGAUCACUAAAAAUCUUGCGAUAGAUUUCCCAUAUUAGUCGAGUUUUGAUAUAUUGAUUUUAAUUAUCAGCGUAGAUCUAAUAAUCCCAACCUUUCCAAAUUUGGCUUCCUUUCAGCCUCAGCCGAGAUAGCAGAAAUCUGGAGUGCGUUGUCCAAAUUGAUAACCAUGUGAUAACGCGAAUUGCUCUUCCCGACAACGAGCGGGCGAGGAGCGAGACAUCUCUAGGGUUUCUGCUAGGGUUUGCAAGAGUCAAUCGAUUCGUCAAUCAUGGCGUCCGUGGCUGCUGCUGCUGCGAAGAAGGAAUCAGCUUGAGGAGCAUGGACGGGCAGCGCGUCGAGGUGGAGUCGUCCAGUCGGAGACAUAGCCCANAUGACCGUGGACGGGUCCUCGCCGGCGGGGACCUCGCCAAGGUCCUUGAGUACUGCAGCAAGCACGCCGGGAACUCCGCUGCCGGCGAAGACGAGCUCAAGGCUUGGGACACCGAGUACGUCAGCAUUGCCGGCGAUGUCCUCUACGAGCGCCUCCUGGUGAGAUCCUUGCGCCAUACUCCUCUUUAAUCUUCUAUUUCUGGGUGUGUUUUUCUAGGGUUAGGGUUUUGAUGGGCUCGCUGUUUGUGGN